RNAcentral lists this ribosomal RNA (267 nucleotides) under uncultured bacterium. RNAcentral's name for it is "partial 16S ribosomal RNA". It matches the Rfam family "Bacterial small subunit ribosomal RNA", at positions 793 to 1055 of the family's 1533-position model. The record is from RNAcentral.
GUCCACGCCGUAAACGUUGUGCACUAGGUGUGGGAGGAUAUCGACCCCUUCCGUGCCGCAGCUAACGCAUUAAGUGCACCGCCUGGGGAGUACGCCCGCAAGGGUGAAACUCAAAGGAAUUGACGGGGGCCCGCACAAGCGGUGGAGCAUGUGGUUUAAUUCGAUGCAACGCGAAGAACCUUACCCAGGCUUGACAUCGCGCGAAUCCCUUGGAAACGAGGGAGUGCCCUUCGGGGAGCGCGUAGACAGGUGUUGCAUGGCUGUCGU